GGGACACGUGGUAUCCUGUCUGAAUAUGGGGGGACCAUCCUCCAAGGCUAAAUACUCCUGACUGACCGAUAGUGAACCAGUACCGUGAGGGAAAGGCGAAAAGAACCCCGGCGAGGGGAGUGAAAAAGAACCUGAAACCGUGUACGUACAAGCAGUGGGAGCACGCUUAGGCGUGUGACUGCGUACCUUUUGUAUAAUGGGUCAGCGACUUAUAUUCUGUAGCAAGGUUAACCGAAUAGGGGAGCCGAAGGGAAACCGAGUCUUAACUGGGCGUUAAGUUGCAGGGUAUAGACCCGAAACCCGGUGAUCUAGCCAUGGGCAGGUUGAAGGUUGGGUAACACUAACUGGAGGACCGAACCGACUAAUGUUGAAAAAUUAGCGGAUGACUUGUGGCUGGGGGUGAAAGGCCAAUCAAACCGGGAGAUAGCUGGUUCUCCCCGAAAGCUAUUUAGGUAGCGCCUCGUGAAUUCAUCUCCGGGGGUAGAGCACUGUUUCGGCAAGGGGGUCAUCCCGACUUACCAACCCGAUGCAAACUGCGAAUACCGGAGAAUGUUAUCACGGGAGACACACGGCGGGUGCUAACGUCCGUCGUGAAGAGGGAAACAACCCAGACCGCCAGCUAAGGUCCCAAAGUCAUGGUUAAGUGGGAAACGAUGUGGGAAGGCCCAGACAGCCAGGAUGUUGGCUUAGAAGCAGCCAUCAUUUAAAGAAAGCGUAAUAGCUCACUGGUCGAGUCGGCCUGCGCGGAAGAUGUAACGGGGCUAAACCAUGCACCGAAGCUGCGGCAGCGACGCUGAUGCGUUGUUGGGUAGGGGAGCGUUCUGUAAGCCUGCGA
Molecule: ribosomal RNA, 835 nt
Filed under: Escherichia coli
Lineage: Bacteria; Pseudomonadati; Pseudomonadota; Gammaproteobacteria; Enterobacterales; Enterobacteriaceae
Description: partial 23S ribosomal RNA
Rfam family: Bacterial large subunit ribosomal RNA
Source: RNAcentral